ACUCUCUGGAGACACCCGGAUAGCAGACCGGGGGCCGAAGGUGCAACAUAUAUCCAAGGAUAUAUGAAUCUCUCAGGUAAAAGGACAGAGAAG
Molecule: non-coding RNA, 93 nt
Filed under: uncultured Marvinbryantia sp.
Lineage: Bacteria; Bacillati; Bacillota; Clostridia; Lachnospirales; Lachnospiraceae
Description: Glycine riboswitch
Rfam family: Glycine riboswitch aptamer
About the family: This family represents the bacterial glycine riboswitch.
Source: RNAcentral